Non-coding RNA from Pelobates cultripes (western spadefoot toad), 2324 nucleotides. Lineage: Eukaryota; Metazoa; Chordata; Amphibia; Anura; Pelobatidae. The record is from the annotation of a GenBank genome assembly.
UGUGUGUGAGGGUGCAGUGUAUGCAUGUGAGGAAGCUGUGAGUGUCAGGGUUGCAGUGUGUGUGAGUGAGGGUGCUGUGAGUGUCAGGGGUGCAGUGUGUGUGUGUGUGAUGUGUGUGUCAGGGGUGCAGUGUGUGUGUGAGGGUGCUGUGGGUGUUAGGGGUGCAUUGUGUGUGUUGUGAGUGUCAGGGGUGCAGUGUGUGUGUGAGGGUGCUGUGAGUGUCAGGGGUGCAGUGUGUGUGUGUGGAGGGUGCUGUGAGUGCUGGGUGCAUUUUGUGUGUUGUAAGUGUCAGGGGUGCAGUGUGUGUGUGAGGGUGCCAGAGUGUUAGGGGUGCAUUGUGUGUGUGCUGUGAGUGUAGGGGUGCAUUGUGUGUGUGCUGUGAGUGUCAGGGGUGCAGUGUGUGUGUGAGGGUGUCGUGAGUGUCAGGGGUGCAUUGUGUGUUUAAGGGUGCUGUGAGUGUUAGGGGUGCAUUGUGUGCUGUGAGUGUCAGGCGUGCAGUGUGUGUGUGUGAGGGUGCUGUGAGUGUCAGGGGUGCAGUGUGUGUGCUGUGAGUGUCAGGCGUGCAGUGUGUGUGUAAGGGUGCUGUGAGUGUCAGGGGUGCAGUGUGUGUGUGUGCUGUGCGUGUCAGGCGUGCAGUGUGUGUGUGAGGGUGCUGUGAGUGUCAGGGGUGCAGUGUGUGUGCUGUGAGGGUCAGGGGUUCAGUGUGUGUGAGUGAGGGUGCUGGGAGUGUCAGGGGUGCAUUUCAUGCAGCCAGAGUGUCAGGGUGCAGUGUGUGUGUGUGCUGUGAUUGUUAGUGCAGUGUAUGUGUGUGAGGGUACCUUUCGUGAGUGUUUAGGCAGUGUGUGUGCAGGGUGCUGUAUGGGUUGGGGUGCAGGUGUAUGUGUGAGGGUGCUGUGGAGUGAUAGGGUGCAUUGUGUGUGCUGUGAGUGUCAGGGGUGCGUGUGUGUGUGUGUGUGUGCUGUGAUUGUUAGUGCAGGUGUGUGUGAGGGUGCUGUGAGUGUUAGGCAUGAAAGUGUGUGUGUGUGGGAGGGUGCUGGGAGUGUCAGGGUGUGUGUGUGUGCUGUGAGUGUCAGGGGUGCAUUGUGGGUGGUGUAAGCUAGGUGUCAGGGGUGCAGGGUGUGGAGGGUGCUGUGAGUGUUAGGGGUGCAUUGUGUGUGUGCUGUGGAGUGUAGGGGUGCAUUGUGUGUGUGUGUGAGUGUUAGCGGUGCAUUGUGUGUGUGCUGUGAGGGUGCAGUGUGUGUGUGUUGUGCGUGUCAGGGGUGCAGUGUGUGUGUGUGAGGGUGCUGUGAGUGUUAGGGGUGCAUUGUGUGUGUGCUGUGAGUGUCAGGCGUGCAGUGUGUGUGUGAGGGUGCCGUGAGUGUCAGGCGUGCAGUGUGUGUGUGAGGGUGCUGUGAGUCUUAGGGGUGCAUUGUGUGUGUGCUGUGUGUGUGCUGUGUGUGUCAGGGGUGCAGUGUGUGUGUGUGCUGUGAGUGUGUGUGUGCUGUGAGUGUUAGGGGUGCAGUGUGUGUAUGUGUGCUGUGAGUCUUAGGGGUGCAUUGUGUGUGUGCUGUGAGUGUCAGGAGUGCAGUGUGUGUGUGUGUGCUGCGAGUCUUAGGGGUGCAUUGUGUGUGCGCUGUGAGUGUCAGGGGUGCAGUGUGUGUGUGUGUGCUGUGACGUUAGGCAAGUGUAUGUGUGUGGGAGGGUACUGUAGGAGCGUGCUGUGGGCGUGUAGUGCAAGUGUGUGUGUAAGGGUGCUGUGAGUGCCUGUGGGGUGCAGUGUGUGUGUGUGCUGUGCGGUCAGGCUUAUUAUGUGUGUGUGUGAGGGUGCUGUGUGAGUGUCAGGGAGUGCAGUGUGUGCUGUGAGUGUCAGGGCGUGCAGUGUGUGUGUAAGUAUGGGUGCUGUGGAGUGUCAGGUGCAGUGUGUGUGUGUGCUGUGCGUGUCAGGGGUGCAGUGUGUGUGUGAGGGUGCUGUGAGUCUUAGGGGUGCAUUGUGUGUGCUGUGAGUGUCACGGGUGCAGUGUGUGUGUGUGCUGUGAUUGUUAGGGGUGCAGUGUAUGUGUGUGAGGGUACUGUGAGUGUUAGGGGUGCAGUGUGUGUGUGAGGGUGCUGUGCGUGUCAGGGGUGCAGUGUGUAUGUGAGGGUGCUGUGAGUGUCAGGGGUGCAUUGUGUGUGCUGUGAGUGUUAGGGAUGCAGUGUGUGUGUGUGUGUGUGCUGUGAGUGUUAGGGGUGCAGUGUGUGUGUGUGUGCUGUUAGUGUUAGGGGUGCAGUGUGUGUGUGUGCUGUGAGUGUUAGGGGUGCAGUGUGUGUGUGUGUGCUGUGAGUGUUAGGGGUGCAGGGUAUCUGUG